This 1682-nucleotide long non-coding RNA is filed under the name Triticum aestivum (bread wheat). RNAcentral's name for it is "long non-coding RNA (TAES_LNC000353)". The record is from RNAcentral. Lineage: Eukaryota; Viridiplantae; Streptophyta; Magnoliopsida; Poales; Poaceae.
CCCACCCUCUAAUCUCUCGAUGCCCCUCCCUGCAUUAAUCGCUGCUCCCCACCUCGCGCCUUCCCUGCCCGAGCUCUGCUUCCCACCUCGCUCGCCUCGCCUCGCCGGCAGUGAGCGCUCGCCAGAUCCAUGCUCCGCCGCCGUCGAUUCUCGCCUCCACCAGCCAACUACGCCACAUCACGACACGACCUCACAGGCCACCGACGAGGCCUCGCACCUCGACCUCACCGGCUAGCUCGACCCGCCUUGCACCACCAGCUCGUUCCCCCUCGCAUCUACCACCCGGCCGGGCAGCGAGUGCCUCACGGAUCCUCCUUCGAUCCUUCCCACCGGCCAGUUUUUUCAGUCGCCAAGUCGCCCCCAUCGAUUGAAUCUGCUGCAUCCGGGGGUACAUCAGCCAACCGGAGUAUAGGAUUGCAAAAUUCCGCCACUAUUUGGAGCUCCCCAUCCCCAAAUCAAAGGUAUGUGCACUCUGUGCAUUGUCCCAGAUUUGGGCUUUUGUAAUUUUUGUAACGGAAUAUUUCUGUGUAAUUCAUCCAGCAGCCUAAUUAUAAGUGUUUCUUAUGUUGGCGGCCUGGUAUUGUUUUGAAUAUUCAUUUGUUUCAGUAAUUCUCCGUGCUUAGAAUCUACUUGACAAUUAUUGUUCACUUUCUUUUUCCAAUGCUUCCUGCAAUGCUUCUUAUUGUAUACAGAGCAUCCAAGCAUAUGUACACACACAUUGGCGGCAAAUUCGUUAUGUUUCCACUUUUCAAAAUUCCAUGCUUCCAUUGAAGACUAAAAUUGAACCCAUACUGCAUUUUAUAUUGCAUCACACACGGAUGCUUCUAAAUUGGCCCCUUUCUGAUACGGUCGUCCAGAAAAAUGCUUCCAUGCCAAAAGUCACCAACAGAUGCAUCCCCAUCAUGGCAGCAAGCUUACUAAUGCCGGCGUCAUGCACCGUAUUAUCCCGUGGUCAUAUUUUGUGCUUCUGGCAUUCUUUAUUUCAUCUAUAAACAAAUAUAUAUUGUUAUUUCUAGUGUAUUGCUUCAUUUCCUAAGUCAACAUACAGAAAUGCUAACACAUCACGUUCCGUGUUUUCUCAGGUGACACCCAACAAUGACCAAAAAAGAGUUGGUCAUGCUCCAGAGUCGAUAGCAUCACUUGUUUGCUUCAGAGAUUCCAUUCCUCCAAUGUAUCCUAUAUAUGCUUUCACUCUAUUUGGAUCUGGGAAACAAUACCAGUGUCAACCACAACCACGAGCACCAAGCCGGCAAACAGACAUGUGUUUGACUCCUCCGACUCCAUCUUGUCAUCCGCGGAGGCGGCAACGACCCUCCUAGUCGUCUCACCAGCGAUUUCGUCGGUCGUGCUCAGUGCAAGUAGUGCGAUGGAAGGCCGCACUGUCUUCUUCCUCCACCAGAUCAACGGCCUCUUUGGUACCGAUGAUGCUUGACUGUUGAAGCAAUAUUAGUAAAGAUAGGAAGCAAAUAACAUGAAUAUGUGCAUGUAUAUUUGUCUACUGUUGAAGCAGGAAAUGAAAGUAAUGGAACAUAGUUUGUUUAUUUUACUUUUUGACACCGAAGCACCAAAUGAUGACUUGAGAAGCCUCACUAAAUUAUGUAGGAAGCAAAGAAAAUGCUAGGAAAGAGAAACUAGCUGCCAGGAGAAAAAAAGAAGCAUGUGUGGCACUCAUUAAAGCAUGG